Molecule: ribosomal RNA, 213 nt
Filed under: Salmonella enterica subsp. enterica serovar Typhimurium
Lineage: Bacteria; Pseudomonadati; Pseudomonadota; Gammaproteobacteria; Enterobacterales; Enterobacteriaceae
Description: partial 16S ribosomal RNA
Rfam family: Bacterial small subunit ribosomal RNA
Source: RNAcentral
AAUACAAAGGGCAGCGAAACCGCGAGGUCAAGCAAAUCCCAUAAAGUUGUUCUCAGUUCGGAUUGUAGUCUGCAACUCGACUACAUGAAGCUGGAAUCGCUAGUAAUCGUAGAUCAGCAUGCUACGGUGAAUACGUUCCCGGGCCUUGUACACACCGCCCGUCACACCACGAGAGUUUGUAACACCCGAAGCCGGUGGAGUAACCAUUUGGAG